AUGGGAGCUUGCUUCCUGAUGUUAGCGGCGGACGGGUGAGUAACACGUGGGUAACCUGCCUGUAAGACUGGGAUAACUCCGGGAAACCGGGGCUAAUACCGGAUGGUUGUUUGAACCGCAUGGUUCAGACAUAAAAGGUGGCUUCGGCUACCACUUACAGAUGGACCCGCGGCGCAUUAGCUAGUUGGUGAGGUAACGGCUCACCAAGGCGACGAUGCGUAGCCGACCUGAGAGGGUGAUCGGCCACACUGGGACUGAGACACGGCCCAGACUCCUACGGGAGGCAGCAGUAGGGAAUCUUCCGCAAUGGACGAAAGUCUGACGGAGCAACGCCGCGUGAGUGAUGAAGGUUUUCGGAUCGUAAAGCUCUGUUGUUAGGGAAGAACAAGUGCCGUUCAAAUAGGGCGGCACCUUGACGGUACCUAACCAGAAAGCCACGGCUAACUACGUGCCAGCAGCCGCGGUAAUACGUAGGUGGCAAGCGUUGUCCGGAAUUAUUGGGCGUAAAGGGCUCGCAGGCGGUUUCUUAGUCUGAUGUGAAAGCCCCCGGCUCAACCGGGGAGGGUCAUUGGAAACUGGGGAACUUGAGUGCAGAAGAGGAGAGUGGAAUUCCACGUGUAGCGGUGAAAUGCGUAGAGAUGUGGAGGAACACCAGUGGCGAAGGCGACUCUCUGGUCUGUAACUGACGCUGAGGAGCGAAAGCGUGGGGAGCGAACAGGAUUAGAUACCCUGGUAGUCCACGCCGUAAACGAUGAGUGCUAAGUGUUAGGGGGUUUCCGCCCCUUAGUGCUGCAGCUAACGCAUUAAGCACUCCGCCUGGGGAGUACGGUCGCAAGACUGAAACUCAAAGGAAUUGACGGGGGCCCGCACAAGCGGUGGAGCAUGUGGUUUAAUUCAAAGCAACGCGAAGAACCUUACCAGGUCUUGACAUCCUCUGACAAUCCUAAAGAUAGGACGUCCCCUUCGGGGG
RNAcentral lists this ribosomal RNA (970 nucleotides) under Bacillus subtilis. RNAcentral's name for it is "bacterial SSU rRNA". It matches the Rfam family "Bacterial small subunit ribosomal RNA", at positions 72 to 1026 of the family's 1533-position model. The record is from RNAcentral. Lineage: Bacteria; Bacillati; Bacillota; Bacilli; Caryophanales; Bacillaceae.